Paramuricea clavata is the source of this 946-nucleotide non-coding RNA. NCBI's taxonomy places the organism in Eukaryota, Metazoa, Cnidaria, Anthozoa, Malacalcyonacea, Plexauridae. The record is from the annotation of a GenBank genome assembly.
AUGAAAAAGUUGCACUUGCUGUGAGGAAUACCCGCAAAGAACACAGGAGUUGUGGAUUUACAUAUCUUUUUCUUUUUAGGAAGCAGAGCCGUUUAUCUCGAAUCACACAAAUACCCAAGAAACAGGUUCUUUUCUCAGAUUUCUUCGUUGGCCGAAGAGAAAUAAGAUUCAGCUUGACAGAUCUAAGAUGAUCAAGGAAGUACAGUGCAAUCUGAUGAGCAGAAAGACAGGUUAAAGAGGUCUGAAGAAUGCAGGGUAUGAAUAACAAAAGAAAACAAUACAUGUAGUAUCUUUGUCAUCAUUUCCGUGUCAUCAUUCAUUUCCUUUUCAUGAGUAGAGUUUGGAAACGCCAAAUUAUAACCAUUUGUACAAUUCCUAUAACACUUGUUUUAUCUAUUGCCACAAGUUACUAAGGUAGUGUUUGACUUUCAGCAUUUGUUACGCAUUCGUUCACUUUGCAAGGGUUAAGACGACGUCCUCGACUCUCAAACCUUCAGUUACCAAGUUAGUUUUAUUGUUGGAAAACGCAGAUGACCAAGGGACAGUCCCAACCGAAGAGCCUAAUAUAACGAACAUCCACUUCAUACGGACUGGAAUACUUCAACGUGAAAAGAGUGUAGAUUGUCUGACAUUGAGCUGCGAUGUGUAGAAGACAAACUUGAUACACCAAAUCAGCAAGAACUAUUUCUAUUGGUCACUUUUCAGCACUGUGUUUGGAAUGAGCCUUUUGAAGCUGCCAGCGUGUAUACUUAUCAACGAACUGAAAAAAUGAAUGGAUUAGAAGAUAAUUACAACUUACUGCAGUUAAUUGUAUAAUUUCAAGGCAAACGAGAAUAAUUCCGAAAAUCUAACGCACUUGAGAGUAACGAUGAACAAUCUUAUAUAACAAAAGAUCCAUGGAUUUUUUUAGAUUUGAUAUGCCAUCGAGGUUAAAAAUAUAUUAAGU